This 873-nucleotide long non-coding RNA is filed under the name Ursus maritimus (polar bear). RNAcentral's name for it is "lncRNA (ENSUMAG00000005979.1)". The record is from RNAcentral. Lineage: Eukaryota; Metazoa; Chordata; Mammalia; Carnivora; Ursidae.
CAAGUUUCGAAUAUUCUGGAAAUAUCACACGUUACUAUAAUUUACUCUCUCUCUUUCUCCCUGCAGACUACAAGGAAACAGGGCUAAGACUCAAACAAAAACACAAGAAACCAAAGCCUUCUUCUGAGAAGUUGUAAGAGGCCAGGAGAGGUCCUUAAUUAAACAUCAGAGAUCAAGGAGAAGAAAAGCACACUUCAGUUCCUAACGCUUUCAGGCAAUCAUGCAAUUCAAGCCCAGCUAUCUGGUGACCGGUGUGUUGUAAGCAAGGCGAGGGACCUCGGAGGACCCAGAUGAUGCCUGAGGCACUGGUGAUGGGAACCCACGGAGUUCUGUCUCUCCUCCAGCUGACCUGGCCUUCAGAUGUGAUCCCAUGGGAGGUAGCAGACCUCGUGGUGGGCUGUAUGUCCACCUGGGACACUGGCUGGCUCUCCAGCCCUGCUUCACUUCACCCCAACCUGCAAGAGGGCACCACCAGGGGCUCUGCAAAGCACUGGGCUCUGUGAGGCCACCUUCAGACCCAGCGCACCCUUGCCAGCAGGCAGCUCUUGGCUGACAUCAGCGCAGAACUACAGGGGCCACCUUGACUGACAGCUGUGGCAUCCAAUGACACCACUUGCUGGGCAAGUCCUUUGAUCAUUCUGAAGCUCAGGCCUGUAACACGGAAAUGAGACCCGCCCCACCUCUUUCUGUGGGUUGCUGUCAAAAUCAAAUGGGAUCAUAGAAGUGCUUUGAAAAAGAAAAAGCAAUAUUCAAAUAUAAAAUGCUAGAUUACCUUUUUUUUUUUUUUUGUGAAGGUUGUCAGGGCCCAAACAAAAAAGAUUUUUCAGUUUUACCAUUUAAUAAUAAAUCAAGUCUAUCAGAAGCUUGAUAACA